CAGUCGCCGCGGUAAUACGUAGGUGGCAAGCGUUGUCCGGAAUUAUUGGGCGUGAAGGGCUCGCAGGCGGUUUCUUAGGUCUGAUGUGAAAGCCCCCGGCUCAACCGGGGAGGGUCAUUGGAAACUGGGAAACUUGAGUGCAGAAGAGGAGAGUGGAAUUCCACGUGUAGCGGUGAAAUGCGUAGAGAUGUGGAGGAACACCAGUGGCGAAGGCGACUCUCUGGUCUGUAACUGACGCUGAGGAGCGAAAGCGUGGGGAGCGAACAGGAUUAGAUACCCCAGUAGUCCCUGUCUCUUAUAC
This 301-nucleotide ribosomal RNA is filed under the name uncultured bacterium. Its description in RNAcentral is "partial 16S ribosomal RNA". It matches the Rfam family "Bacterial small subunit ribosomal RNA", at positions 509 to 807 of the family's 1533-position model. The record is from RNAcentral.